ACGCACGUAUAGGGUAGUUUUUCUAUCUCCUCUAGUCGCUUUCCUUUCUAAUCUGCCACUUGCGAUCUGAAAAAACCUGCUCGCUGCCGCCGGCCACCUAGAUUGUCUACCGUCGAGAAGGAAAAGCGACAGGCAAGCACGGUCGCGCCGAUCCACGGGCGCAUUCCAGCCGGCCGGCCGGCCGCACUGACGAACAACCAAACGAGAAAAAGAAAGACAUGAAGAGAAAGAAAGGGAUUAGGGGGAGCGACCAUGGACCUAAGGAUGAAUGACGUCUUCCAUGCCAGCAUGGCAUGGGACGGCCUCGCUUGUCUCCUAUGUUUUACCCGUGACCCGUUGUCACCGUUCUCGGUCAUUGACGUCCACAUGCAGGAUCAGUGCUCCACAGUCCGAAGCGAGAUGGCAUGUGUCUCUUUUUGCCAAUAGCUUGGUGUAUGCGGUGCAACGGUGUCCAGUGGUUCCCAGGAGGCGUUGUGUCACUUCUAAUCAGUAGUAGCAGGUGCUUCUUGUUGGGGGUGUAGCCACUUAUGUGCUCAUGCUCAACAGUGAGCUGGUGGUGUUUGCUACUCCCUCCGUCCGGAAAUACUUGCCAUCAAAAUGGAUAAAAGGGAUGUAUCUAGACGU
Long non-coding RNA from Triticum aestivum (bread wheat), 624 nucleotides. RefSeq lists it as uncharacterized. Lineage: Eukaryota; Viridiplantae; Streptophyta; Magnoliopsida; Poales; Poaceae. The record is from RefSeq and is a predicted model, not a curated record. The transcript has 3 exons.